UUUCUAGUAACAGACGGUCAAAAUAAAAAUUGACUUGAUCACACCUAAUUGCCAUAGCCACCAUCACUUCCAACAACGUUAAGAACCAAACGACACCACCUCACCACGAUCACAUGUACCACAAGCAACAAAAUCAUUCCUGUCCACACAAAAUGAUUUCAACUUAUUUAUUAAUGUAACAAUUUGUCUCUCUUACUUGAGAACAAACCCAUAAACAAAAUUAUUUCAACUCAUCUAUAAACAAAAUUCCUGUUUGUCUCCUUUUUUUUCAAUUUUUUCCUCAAAUUAUUGAUCCCCAGUGCGAAUCACAACGAUAGCAGCCACAUCGAUAAAAGGCCCAAUUACUACACAACAACCGCCAUCUCUAGCCGUACAAACACCAUCAUCACCACCCACAAACAACCACCGACCAUUAAAUCGCCGCUGCACGAAAUCACCACCAAUUGCUACAACAGCCAAUUAAGAACCUCAAGCAAAAUUGAAUUCCCAGCCUCACGUAAACUACUAAUAGAACUUACCAGAAAUGCUAACUUGAUUAAUAUAAGUUAAACAUACCAUAAAUUUGGAGUGCCCAGAAAAUACAUAUUUAUCUCUUUGGUCAACAUUGUCGAACAAUAUGUAAAUGAGGAUCCUAUUGCCAUACAUUGAACGUCGACCUUAAAACUUGUUUGUUAACCGAUGACUUCAUUAAUGUUUUGCUAGAAUGAAAUAUUCUACACAUUUUUUCAUCUAGUAAACACCAACUUAUAAAUAAUCCCUAUAAUUAAUAGCAAUAACUUUGCUAUUGGUGGUGGAGAGGGACUGUCAGUGGCGGCUCUUCCAGUUCUCUCCUCCAUACCUCUCUUGAUUUUCCAUCUCCCCCAAAACCUUAUGUUAGACACUCCCACCAACAUCACUACAAUUGACAUCACCAUCGAUACCAUCACCACGGCACCAACAACCACCACCACCAACAAAAAUACACCAAAACCCACCAACCACCACCCCAAGAUAUCACCCCCAAAGUAAAUCGAUUGUCGGAGUUUUUUUUUUCCCUUUUGAAGCCCCAUAACAACUGCGAUUGCCGUAGUAAAUUUUCUUCUUGCUUUUGUCGUCGGAACCAGCUGUUUUUGAAGUUUAUUCUGUGAUGGAGAGAGAAAUGGUGAGAUGUGAUUUAUGUGAUAAAGGGAGAGAAAUGGUGAGACGUGGGUUUAAUAAAUGUUAAUUAAAUAUUUAACCCCUGAUUUGUGAAAAG
This 1234-nucleotide long non-coding RNA is filed under the name Olea europaea (common olive). RNAcentral's name for it is "long non-coding RNA (OEUR_LNC011732)". The record is from RNAcentral. Lineage: Eukaryota; Viridiplantae; Streptophyta; Magnoliopsida; Lamiales; Oleaceae.